Molecule: long non-coding RNA, 383 nt
Filed under: Capsella rubella
Lineage: Eukaryota; Viridiplantae; Streptophyta; Magnoliopsida; Brassicales; Brassicaceae
Description: long non-coding RNA (CRUB_LNC003955)
Source: RNAcentral
UUUUCUCUCGUCGACGGUGACGACGGAGUCUGAUGACGGGUUGUUAUUACCGCCGUCGGAAGAGCUAGAGCUCCGGUAAGUACUGCUUGAUGACGCCAUUGAUUCAAACAAUUACAAAGAAACGAAAAAUUAAAAAAAGGACAGAUUUUUUUUAUGUUUUAUCUUAUAAGGUUUUGUCUGAAAAUUAAUUGAAUAGUUUUUUUUUAAGGGAUUGAUUCAGAUUAGGAGUUUGUAACAAUUCAUGAAACGUUGUAGAACCAGUAGAGGAAGACGACGGAGAAAGAUUGAACGAGAUGGGUUCUACGGCGGAGAGCAGAUUUAACCGUGAGCCCAGAGAGCAAGAUUUCGCAGAGAACGGGAGUCAUCAGUUUCCGAUCAUCAAA